RNAcentral lists this ribosomal RNA (253 nucleotides) under uncultured bacterium. RNAcentral's name for it is "partial 16S ribosomal RNA". It matches the Rfam family "Bacterial small subunit ribosomal RNA", at positions 524 to 776 of the family's 1533-position model. The record is from RNAcentral.
UACGUAGGGGGCGAGCGUUGUCCGGAUUUAUUGGGCGUAAAGAGCGUGUAGGCGGUUCGGUAAGUCUGUCGUGAAAUCCUGAGGCUCAACCUCGGGCGUGGGAUGGAUACUGCCGGGCUAGAGGAUGGUAGAGGCGAGUGGAAUUCCCGGUGUAGCGGUGAAAUGCGCAGAUAUCGGGAGGAACACCAGUGGCGAAGGCGGCUCGCUGGGCCAUUCCUGACGCUGAGACGCGAAAGCUAGGGGAGCGAACAGG